GGGUUGUGAGGUUAAGCGACUAAGCGUACACGGUGGAUGCCCUGGCAGUCAGAGGCGAUGAAGGACGUGCUAAUCUGCGAUAAGCGUCGGUAAGGUGAUAUGAACCGUUAUAACCGGCGAUUUCCGAAUGGGGAAACCCAGUGUGUUUCGACACACUAUCAUUAACUGAAUCCAUAGGUUAAUGAGGCGAACCGGGGGAACUGAAACAUCUAAGUACCCCGAGGAAAAGAAAUCAACCGAGAUUCCCCCAGUAGCGGCGAGCGAACGGGGAGCAGCCCAGAGCCUGAAUCAGUGUGUGUAUUAGUGGAAGCGUCUGGAAAGGCGCGCGAUACAGGGUGACAGCCCCGUACACAAAAAUGCACAUGCUGUGAGCUCGAUGAGUAGGGCGGGACACGUGGUAUCCUGUCUGAAUAUGGGGGGACCAUCCUCCAAGGCUAAAUACUCCUGACUGACCGAUAGUGAACCAGUACCGUGAGGGAAAGGCGAAAAGAACCCCGGCGAGGGGAGUGAAAAAGAACCUGAAACCGUGUACGUACAAGCAGUGGGAGCCUCUUUAUGGGGUGACUGCGUACCUUUUGUAUAAUGGGUCAGCGACUUAUAUUCUGUAGCAAGGUUAACCGAAUAGGGGAGCCGAAGGGAAACCGAGUCUUAACUGGGCGUUAAGUUGCAGGGUAUAGACCCGAAACCCGGUGAUCUAGCCAUGGGCAGGUUGAAGGUUGGGUAACACUAACUGGAGGACCGAACCGACUAAUGUUGAAAAAUUAGCGGAUGACUUGUGGCUGGGGGUGAAAGGCCAAUCAAACCGGGAGAUAGCUGGUUCUCCCCGAAAGCUAUUUAGGUAGCGCCUCGUGAAUUCAUCUCCGGGGGUAGAGCACUGUUUCGGCAAGGGGGUCAUCCCGACUUACCAACCCGAUGCAAACUGCGAAUACCGGAGAAUGUUAUCACGGGAGACACACGGCGGGUGCUAACGUCCGUCGUGAAGAGGGAAACAACCCAGACCGCCAGCUAAGGUCCCAAAGUCAUGGUUAAGUGGGAAACGAUGUGGGAAGGCCCAGACAGCCAGGAUGUUGGCUUAGAAGCAGCCAUCAUUUAAAGAAAGCGUAAUAGCUCACUGGUCGAGUCGGCCUGCGCGGAAGAUGUAACGGGGCUAAACCAUGCACCGAAGCUGCGGCAGCGACGCUUAUGCGUUGUUGGGUAGGGGAGCGUUCUGUAAGCCUGCGAAGGUGUGCUGUGAGGCAUGCUGGAGGUAUCAGAAGUGCGAAUGCUGACAUAAGUAACGAUAAAGCGGGUGAAAAGCCCGCUCGCCGGAAGACCAAGGGUUCCUGUCCAACGUUAAUCGGGGCAGGGUGAGUCGACCCCUAAGGCGAGGCCGAAAGGCGUAGUCGAUGGGAAACAGGUUAAUAUUCCUGUACUUGGUGUUACUGCGAAGGGGGGACGGAGAAGGCUAUGUUGGCCGGGCGACGGUUGUCCCGGUUUAAGCGUGUAGGCUGGUUUUCCAGGCAAAUCCGGAAAAUCAAGGCUGAGGCGUGAUGACGAGGCACUACGGUGCUGAAGCAACAAAUGCCCUGCUUCCAGGAAAAGCCUCUAAGCAUCAGGUAACAUCAAAUCGUACCCCAAACCGACACAGGUGGUCAGGUAGAGAAUACCAAGGCGCUUGAGAGAACUCGGGUGAAGGAACUAGGCAAAAUGGUGCCGUAACUUCGGGAGAAGGCACGCUGAUAUGUAGGUGAAGCGACUUGCUCGUGGAGCUGAAAUCAGUCGAAGAUACCAGCUGGCUGCAACUGUUUAUUAAAAACACAGCACUGUGCAAACACGAAAGUGGACGUAUACGGUGUGACGCCUGCCCGGUGCCGGAAGGUUAAUUGAUGGGGUUAGCGGUAACGCGAAGCUCUUGAUCGAAGCCCCGGUAAACGGCGGCCGUAACUAUAACGGUCCUAAGGUAGCGAAAUUCCUUGUCGGGUAAGUUCCGACCUGCACGAAUGGCGUAAUGAUGGCCAGGCUGUCUCCACCCGAGACUCAGUGAAAUUGAACUCGCUGUGAAGAUGCAGUGUACCCGCGGCAAGACGGAAAGACCCCGUGAACCUUUACUAUAGCUUGACACUGAACAUUGAGCCUUGAUGUGUAGGAUAGGUGGGAGGCUUUGAAGUGUGGACGCCAGUCUGCAUGGAGCCGACCUUGAAAUACCACCCUUUAAUGUUUGAUGUUCUAACGUUGGCCCCUGAUCGGGGUUGCGGACAGUGUCUGGUGGGUAGUUUGACUGGGGCGGUCUCCUCCUAAAGAGUAACGGAGGAGCACGAAGGUUGGCUAAUCCUGGUCGGACAUCAGGAGGUUAGUGCAAUGGCAUAAGCCAGCUUGACUGCGAGCGUGACGGCGCGAGCAGGUGCGAAAGCAGGUCAUAGUGAUCCGGUGGUUCUGAAUGGAAGGGCCAUCGCUCAACGGAUAAAAGGUACUCCGGGGAUAACAGGCUGAUACCGCCCAAGAGUUCAUAUCGACGGCGGUGUUUGGCACCUCGAUGUCGGCUCAUCACAUCCUGGGGCUGAAGUAGGUCCCAAGGGUAUGGCUGUUCGCCAUUUAAAGUGGUACGCGAGCUGGGUUUAGAACGUCGUGAGACAGUUCGGUCCCUAUCUGCCGUGGGCGCUGGAGAACUGAGGGGGGCUGCUCCUAGUACGAGAGGACCGGAGUGGACGCAUCACUGGUGUUCGGGUUGUCAUGCCAAUGGCACUGCCCGGUAGCUAAAUGCGGAAGAGAUAAGUGCUGAAAGCAUCUAAGCACGAAACUUGCCCCGAGAUGAGUUCUCCCUGAGACUUUAAGUCUCCUGAAGGAACGUUGAAGACGACGACGUUGAUAGGCCGGGUGUGUAAGCGCAGCGAUGCGUUGAGCUAACCGGUACUAAUGAACCGUGAGGCUUAACCUUACAACGCCGAAGGUGUUU
Molecule: ribosomal RNA, 2932 nt
Filed under: Escherichia coli
Lineage: Bacteria; Pseudomonadati; Pseudomonadota; Gammaproteobacteria; Enterobacterales; Enterobacteriaceae
Description: 23S ribosomal RNA
Rfam family: Bacterial large subunit ribosomal RNA
Source: RNAcentral